GUAGGAAUCGAACCUACACCUAAGAGAUCAAAACUCUCCGUAAUUCCAUAUUGGCACCCUUU
Molecule: transfer RNA, 62 nt
Filed under: Dendropsophus parviceps (Sarayacu treefrog)
Lineage: Eukaryota; Metazoa; Chordata; Amphibia; Anura; Hylidae
Description: partial tRNA-Gln
Source: RNAcentral